This 804-nucleotide ribosomal RNA is filed under the name uncultured bacterium. RNAcentral's name for it is "bacterial SSU rRNA". It matches the Rfam family "Bacterial small subunit ribosomal RNA", at positions 97 to 913 of the family's 1533-position model. The record is from RNAcentral.
GGCGAACGGGUGAGUAACACGUGAGUAACCUGCCCUUGACUCUGGGAUAACCUCCGGAAACGGAAGCUAAUACCGGAUAUGACGCACGGAGGCAUCUCCUGUGCGUGGAAAGAACUUCGGUCAAGGAUGGACUCGCGGCCUAUCAGGUAGUUGGUGAGGUAACGGCUCACCAAGCCUACGACGGGUAGCCGGCCUGAGAGGGUGAGCGGCCACACUGGGACUGAGACACGGCCCAGACUCCUACGGGAGGCAGCAGUGGGGAAUAUUGCACAAUGGGCGCAAGCCUGAUGCAGCAACGCCGCGUGAGGGACGACGGUCUUCGGGUUGUAAACCUCUUUUAGUAGGGAAGAAGCGAAAGUGACGGUACCUGCAGAAAAAGCACCGGCUAACUACGUGCCAGCAGCCGCGGUAAUACGUAGGGUGCGAGCGUUGUCCGGAAUUAUUGGGCGUAAAGAGCUCGUAGGCGGUCUGUCGCGUCUGCUGUGAAAACCCGAGGCUCAACCUCGGGCCUGCAGUGGGUACGGGCAGACUAGAGUGCGGUAGGGGAGAAUGGAAUUCCUGGUGUAGCGGUGGAAUGCGCAGAUAUCAGGAGGAACACCGAUGGCGAAGGCAGUUCUCUGGGCCGUAACUGACGCUGAGGAGCGAAAGCGUGGGGAGCGAACAGGAUUAGAUACCCUGGUAGUCCACGCCGUAAACGUUGGGCGCUAGAUGUGGGGACCAUUCCACGGUUUCCGUGUCGCAGCUAACGCAUUAAGCGCCCCGCCUGGGGAGUACGGCCGCAAGGCUAAAACUCAAAGGAAUUGA